Molecule: ribosomal RNA, 348 nt
Filed under: uncultured bacterium
Lineage: Bacteria
Description: bacterial SSU rRNA
Rfam family: Bacterial small subunit ribosomal RNA
Source: RNAcentral
CCGAGCGGAUGAGUUGCGAACGGGUGAGUAACGCGUAGGUAACCUGCCUGGUAGCGGGGGAUAACUAUUGGAAACGAUAGCUAAUACCGCAUAACAGUCGACAUUGCAUGAUGUUGAUUUGAAAGGGGCAAUUGCUCCACUACCAGAUGGACCUGCGUUGUAUUAGCUAGUUGGUGAGGUAACGGCUCACCAAGGCGACGAUACAUAGCCGACCUGAGAGGGUGAUCGGCCACACUGGGACUGAGACACGGCCCAGACUCCUACGGGAGGCAGCAGUAGGGAAUCUUCGGCAAUGGGGGCAACCCUGACCGAGCAACGCCGCGUGAGUGAAGAAGGUUUUCGGAUCGU